GAUGAACGCUGGCGGCGUGCUUAACACAUGCCAGUCGAACGGAAAGGCUCCUGCUUGCAGGGGUACUCGAGUGGCGAACGGGUGAGUAACACGUGGGUGAUCUGCCCUGCACUUCGGGAUAAGCCUGGGAAACUGGGUCUAAUACCGGAUAGGACGAUGGUUUGGAUGCCAUUGUGGAAAGUUUUUUCGGUGUGGGAUGAGCUCGCGGCCUAUCAGCUUGUUGGUGGGGUAAUGGCCUACCAAGGCGUCGACGGGUAGCCGGCCUGAGAGGGUGUACGGCCACAUUGGGACUGAGAUACGGCCCAGACUCCUACGGGAGGCAGCAGUGGGGAAUAUUGCACAAUAGGCGCAAGCCUGAUGCAGCGACGCCGCGUGGGGGAUGACGGCCUUCGGGUUGUAAACUCCUUUCGCUAGGGACGAAGCGCAAGUGACGGUACCUGGAGAAGAAGCACCGGCUAACUACGUG
This 466-nucleotide ribosomal RNA is filed under the name uncultured bacterium. RNAcentral describes it as "partial 16S ribosomal RNA". It matches the Rfam family "Bacterial small subunit ribosomal RNA", at positions 28 to 507 of the family's 1533-position model. The record is from RNAcentral.